UACGGAGGGUGCAAGCGUUGUCCGGAUUUAUUGGGUUUAAAGGGUGCGUAGGCGGUCUUAUAAGUCAGUGCUGAAAUAUCCCGGCUUAACCGGGAGGGUGGCAUUGAUACUGUAGGACUUGAGUAGAGUUGAGGUUGGCGGAAUUGACGGUGUAGCGGUGAAAUGCUUAGAUAUCGUCAAGAACACCGAUAGUGAAGACAGCUAACUAAGCUCUAACAUGACGCUGAGGCACGAAAGUGUGGGGAUCAAACAGG
Molecule: ribosomal RNA, 254 nt
Filed under: uncultured bacterium
Lineage: Bacteria
Description: partial 16S ribosomal RNA
Rfam family: Bacterial small subunit ribosomal RNA
Source: RNAcentral